GAUGAACGCUGGCGGCGUGCCUAAUACAUGCAAGUCGAGCGAAUGGAUUAAGAGCUUGCUCUUAUGAAGUUAGCGGCGGACGGGUGAGUAACACGUGGGUAGCCUGCCCAUAAGACUGGGAUAACUCCGGGGAACCGGGGCUAAUACCGGAUAAUAUUUUGAACUGCAUGGUUCAAAAUUGAAAGGCGGCUUCGGCUGUCACUUAUGGAUGGACCCGCGUCGCAUUAGCUAGUUGGUGAGGUAACGGCUCACCAAGGCAACGAUGCGUAGCCGACCUGAGAGGGUGCUCGGCCACACUGGGACUGAGACACGGCCCAGACUCCUACGGGAGGCAGCAGUAGGGAAUCUUCCGAAAUGGACGAAAGUUUGACGGAGCAACGCCGCGUGAGUGAGGAAGGCUUUCGGGUCGUAAAACUCUGUUGUUAGGGAAGAACAAGUGCUAGUUGAAUAAGCUGGCACCUUGACGGUACCUAACCAGAAAGCCACGGCUAACUACGUGCCAGCAGCCGCCGUAA
This 515-nucleotide ribosomal RNA is filed under the name uncultured bacterium. RNAcentral's name for it is "partial 16S ribosomal RNA". It matches the Rfam family "Bacterial small subunit ribosomal RNA", at positions 28 to 523 of the family's 1533-position model. The record is from RNAcentral.